This 792-nucleotide ribosomal RNA is filed under the name bacterium 197_oclvp508. Its description in RNAcentral is "bacterial SSU rRNA". It matches the Rfam family "Bacterial small subunit ribosomal RNA", at positions 52 to 842 of the family's 1533-position model. RNAcentral also lists the same sequence under 1 other name. The record is from RNAcentral.
UACAUGCAAGUCGAACGGUAACAGGUCUUCGGAUGCUGACGAGUGGCGAACGGGUGAGUAAUACAUCGGAACGUGCCUAGUAGUGGGGGAUAACUACUCGAAAGAGUAGCUAAUACCGCAUGAGAUCUACGGAUGAAAGCAGGGGAUCGCAAGACCUUGUGCUACUAGAGCGGCUGAUGGCAGAUUAGGUAGUUGGUGGGGUAAAGGCUCACCAAGCCAACGAUCUGUAGCUGGUCUGAGAGGACGACCAGCCACACUGGAACUGAGACACGGUCCAGACUCCUACGGGAGGCAGCAGUGGGGAAUUUUGGACAAUGGGCGAAAGCCUGAUCCAGCAAUGCCGCGUGCAGGAUGAAGGCCCUCGGGUUGUAAACUGCUUUUGUACGGAACGAAAAGCUCUGGGCUAAUAUCCCGGAGUCAUGACGGUACCGUAAGAAUAAGCACCGGCUAACUACGUGCCAGCAGCCGCGGUAAUACGUAGGGUGCAAGCGUUAAUCGGAAUUACUGGGCGUAAAGCGUGCGCAGGCGGUUAUGUAAGACAGAGGUGAAAUCCCCGGGCUCAACCUGGGAACUGCCUUUGUGACUGCAUGGCUAGAGUACGGUAGAGGGGGAUGGAAUUCCGCGUGUAGCAGUGAAAUGCGUAGAUAUGCGGAGGAACACCGAUGGCGAAGGCAAUCCCCUGGACCUGUACUGACGCUCAUGCACGAAAGCGUGGGGAGCAAACAGGAUUAGAUACCCUGGUAGUCCACGCCCUAAACGAUGUCAACUGGUUGUUGGGUCUUAACUGACUCA